RNAcentral lists this long non-coding RNA (1048 nucleotides) under Ovis aries (sheep). Its description in RNAcentral is "lncRNA (ENSOARG00000025438.1)". Lineage: Eukaryota; Metazoa; Chordata; Mammalia; Artiodactyla; Bovidae. The record is from RNAcentral.
UCAUUUCUUGUAUUGAAUGAGAUACUGUUCCAAGCACUUACAGGGAAUAUUGCAUUAACUGACCUAGCAAACCAUGCAAGAAGGUUGAUUAUUGUUCCCCCUGUGACAGAUGAUGCCGCAAAGGGACAGAAAGGUGAAGUACCUAGCCCAAGAGACAGGCUGGUAAAUGAUGGAGCCAGGAAUCAAAAAAAGACAGUUCAGGUUUGGGGCCCAAGAUCUUAUCAACAGAAGUUAAUCUUAAUCACUUUUGUUUAUCCCCAUGUGACAUGUACACUGAAAUGUCUCUUUUCAGGUUUUAGGUGGUUACUUGUCAAUGUCUAUGAGCCUCAGAGUCAAGCCUCUGGUGUAUCAGCGGAAGUAAAAGAUGACCAAGGCGUCCUUCCAAGACCUGACUCAAACCCAUUUCCAGCAGAAAGCCCUCUUAGAUUUGGCAUAUCCUCUGUUCCCCUCCUCUCACCUAUAUUUUGCAUUUCUUCAGCCCCUCAGUGUAUAGACUGUUUAUAGAUUGCUUUACACAUGUCCUUAAAUGGCUUUUUUUUUUUCUUUUUUGGUAAUAUCUGUUUCUUUCCAGUUAAAGAGGGAAGAAUGUUUGGAACUAUGCUAGGUAUUUUAAUAUUUGCAUAACAAAUAUGUAUUAAAAUAGAAUACACAGAAGGAGAAAGAGCAAAGAAAGUAAGGAAAAGGUAUAAAGACCCUGAUGCUGGGAAAGACUGAAGGCAGGAAAAGAAGGGGAUGACAAAGGAUGAGAUGGUUGGAUGGCAUCACCAACUCAAUGGACAUGAGUUUGAGCGAACUCCGGGAGUUGGUGAUGGACAGGGAAGCCUGGCGUGCUGCACUCCAUGGGGUUGCAAAGAGUCGGACAUGACUGAGUGACUGAACUGAUUCCAUGUCUGACAUACCCUGCUCCUGUAGAUGUAACGUCAUGACCAGAUUAGAUGAAUAAAAAAUGAUACAAACAGAAAUGGGAGAAAUCCAGAGAAACUGUGAACCACAGAGAAGAAGAGAGUGUUGUUUGUCUCUUCAUUAAGUCUAAACCUUAAGGAACUAU